Molecule: RNA transcript, 9575 nt
Organism: Neofelis nebulosa (Clouded leopard)
Lineage: Eukaryota; Metazoa; Chordata; Mammalia; Carnivora; Felidae
Gene: URB1
Gene name: URB1 ribosome biogenesis homolog
Exons: 43
Source: RefSeq, a predicted model, not a curated record
ACCUGGCACGCCGAGGUGGUACUCCGCUGUCCGCGCGUCCUCUUGCCGGGUUUCCUGGUGUGUAGAUCCCGGCGCGCCCCUCCCCUCUCGGCCAUGGGGGUCCCCAAGAGGAAGGCCGCGGGCGGCCAGGACAGCACGGCUCUCCGCGCGGGCGCAGCCAAGCGGGCCCGCUCCGAAGAGCUCACGGGCGUGCGCUUCAAGGCUGAGCUGCGGGGUCCGCAGGGCGCGGAGCCGGCCUUGGAAGCAUUUGUCGCUGCUGCCAAGAAGCUACCGAGGGAAGACGUGUAUGAUGUUGUGGAAGGGUACAUAAAGAUUUCGGUUGAAUGUGCAGAGAUUUUCCAGCUCCUGAGCGGGGAGAAGCGGCCGGAAAGUGAAACGCUAUUAAUAUUUCAAGUUUUUGAGGCCAUACUAUUGCGGACAGCGAGCGACCUUUCCCAUUUUCAUGUUGUGGGAACCAACAUCGUGAAAAAGCUGCUGAACAGCCACAUGAAGCUCAUCUGUGAGUCCCUGUAUGCCUCGGGCUACAGGAUGGCUCGAGCCUGUCUCAACCUGAUGGCCGCCAUGGUGACCCAGGGUCCUGAGGCCGCCAGGGACGUCUGCAGCCAUUUUGAUUUGAAUAAAAAGACCUUGUACACCCUGGCGACCAAGAGGGAUUCAAAGGGUGUGCACGACGUCCGGCUGGCCUACAUUCAGUUCGCCCUCUCCUUUCUGAUCGCCGGCGAUGACAGCACGAUAGCACAGGUGCUGGAGUUGAAAGAAUUUAUUCCUUGCAUUUUUAGCUCGGGCAUAAAGGAAGACAGGAUUUCCACCGUCAAUAUUUUGUUGUCCACGCUGAAAGCAAAGGUAGUUCACAAUAAAAAUAUCACAAAAACCCAGAAGGUGCGUUUCUUUACGGGGCAGUUGUUGAACCAUAUAGCAGCUCUCUACAGCUGGAAUGGGAUUGUUGACGUGAACCUGGAACAUGGCAAGACUUCUUCUGAGGACUCAGGGAAGAUCCUGGUGAGGGAGCUUGUUCACACCUUCCUGAUGGAUCUUUGCUGUUCGCUCAAGCAUGGGAUUAAUUUUUACGACGCAUCUUUCGGUACCAUCGGCAGAGGCGGGAACCUGACCCUCCUGCACUUACUGUUGGGUUUGAAAACUGCAGCAGACGACGAGCUGGUGGCCGAGCUGGUGGUGAACAUCCUCAAAGUGUGCCCGGACUUGCUGAACAAGUACUUCAAGGAAGUAACAUUUUCCUUUCUGCCAAGAGCGAAGUCCACUUGGUCAAAUAACAUCAAACUACUGAACAAGAUCUAUGAAGCCCAGCCAGACGUUUCCAGGGCCUUUCAGACCAGAGAGUUCAUCCCCUUGCCUCGGCUCCUGGCAAUGGUGAUGGUGACCACCGUGCCCCUGGUGUGCAAUAAGACGAUGUUCACCCAGGCGUUAAAUUUGGACAGCAUAUCAGUGAAGCACACAGCCUUAUCCCUUGUUUCCGUCAUUUUGAAAAGAGCAUUAAAAACGAUCGAGCACUGCCUGAAUAAAGAGACGUGGCAGGAAUCAGGCGUGUACACGGCCGCGGCGAUAGAAGAGUUUGUGCGCCUCUUCAGAGAAGCCCUGAGCAAGGUCUUACCGGACCUGAACACCAUCGUGUGGGUCUGGCAGUCACUUCGAAAGCAGGAGACAAAACAGGAUGAUGAGAAAGGAAAGAAAAGGGGCAUCCAGACUCUUGCUGCCUGCGUGGCUCCCCAGUGCGAUGAUGCGGAAACCAUUCUUCUGAAGGCUGUUCUGCUCCAGGUCAUAUGCCUGUACCAGAAGGUGGUCCCACACGUGGUCCUGCAGUACAACUUCGACUUCAGCAAGCUCCUGAAAGGAGUCAUCUCCGAGCAGGGCCUUCGAGAGGAGGUGCCUCCCCUUCUGCAGCACCACAUCCUGAAGGUGGCUCUGGAGCUGCCCGCCAGCAAGUUCUUGUGGUUAAAGGCACAGGAAGGCCCAGAGGCAGAAAUUAUUGGAGGAGAACGAUCUGUGUUUUACUUGCUGAUGAAAAUGUUCGUGACCAGUAGCCAUCUACAGCUCAAGUCAUCCACCAAACUUCUGAUCACAAAGAUUCUUCGGGACACGGGGGUGUUUGAGCACACCUGGAAGGAGCUGGAGCUGUGGCUGGAGCACUUACAUGACACCGUGGAAGAGAAGAGAGAAACCGUGAUUCAGUUUUUGGAACGCGUUUUACUGACGUUGGUGGCGAAUCCCUAUUCCUACACAGACAAAGCAUCUGACUUUGUCCAGGAAGCCAGCACACUGCAGGCCGCGGGGACGAAGCAGGAGGCUGAUGAUGUCAGCAUUCCGGUCUCCCACAUCGAUGAUGUUCUUGACAUGGUGGACGUCCUGGUGGAGGACAGCGAAGGCUUAGAUGAGGAAAUUGGAUUCUUACUGAACGAAGACAUGAUCCUGCUCACGUUCCCCUUCAGUGCGGUGGUCCCUGCGGCCCUGGAAGCUAGGAAUAAGUUGCUCCUUGGGACGGAAAGUGAAACAGGAGAGAGCAUCGUGGCUUAUAUGACGGCGGUGCUGACAGACCUUCUCCACACCCAGAGGGACCCGCUGGCUCUGUGUCUGCUGCUUCAGGCUUAUGACAAGUUGGAGCCUCCGGUGCCACCCUGCUGCCACCAGCUCUCUCGGUUCCACACGUACUACAGCCGCUGGAUCCCAGAGCCAGUCCGCGAGGCCUUGCCCUUUCAGACGCCGGGCAGUCUCGCCCCCCAGGGUCCUCCGGCCUCCUCCUUCUCCGCCCUGUUGCAGAGGGCCUACGAGAGCGAGGGCGCGCUCCUGGACGAGCAGGUUCAGGCGCGGCUGCAGGCCGCCCUCCCGCACCUCCCGGUGCACCAGGUCCUGCGCUCGGCGAAGCACCUGCUGCUCUACAUCAGGAGCACCGUGGAGACCUUUGGCCAGCUGGGCCGAAGCGCAGGGCCCCCCGUCCUGCGGCUCCUCUUGGACCUCCUCAGGCGCCUGGUCGUCCACUGUGUGCAGCUGGACGCGCAGAACCGGCAGAAAUGCGAGUCCGCCCGGGCUGAAUCCGACCUCUUUUUGGACGUGGAGUCCGUGGCCUCGCUGGCGCUGGCCAGCGACAAGACGCUGGAGGAGGUGCUGGUGGCCAUCCUCAGACAUCCCACGCUGGAGGGCUGGUACCUGGCCCUGGAGCGACGGGCCCUCCCUCCGCACGCCCUCAGCCCCAUCCUCGUGAAGCUCCUGGCGGCCCAGCUCAGUGCGGGGGUCCUGCAGCUGCUGCUGGCGAGCGCCCCGAUCCUCCGGAGCAUCCGUCAGCUGGGCCUCCUGGCCGGGUACUCGGAGGCCAUCACCCGGAGCGUGUUGAACGAGCUGCAGAACAGGAGGGCGGGCCGGGCCGCGUCUCGGGCAGAGACCCUCCCGCAGCUGGAGGCCCUGCGGGAGCUGCAUCCGUACAUGGAGGGCGCCCAGCUCCGUGAGGUCACCCUGGCUUUGCUGAGCCUGCCCGAGGCCCAGCUGGUGGCCCCGGGACCCCUGAAGUCCCCCGGGAAGGAGAGACACCUGAACGCUCUCGGCAAGACCCUGGUCCAGCUGUUGACCCGCAGCCCCCAGGAUCAGCUGCAGAGCAGCGAGCUCCUUUGGGCCUCUGAGUUUGUGAAAGGCCUGGGGGCUUUGCUCCCCACGUUGGCUGUGGACGAGCUGGACGCCGUGUUUCUCCACACUCUACGGAGAGAGCCCGUGCUGGUCCCCGUGGUCGGGGUCGACGUGCUGGACUACUGCCUGGCCCGGCGGACGCAGGCGGCCCUGAGCACCGCCGCCCUACUCGUGCGGCUGAGCUCCACCCACCUGCUGCGGUUUGAGCUGUGGUGCGGGCGGCCCGGCUCGGGACUCUGCCUCCAGGAAGGCCUCGACGACUUCCUCCCCCUCGUCCACGUGUACCUCCGGUGCAGGACGUGGGGAUGCUUCACACGCCCGGCGGGAGUGUCCUCUGCUGUCAUUCCCGUCUUGAGGAAAGCUCUGUGGAGGCAGCUACAGACCAGGCUUCUCAGUGCGGAUGGGCCCCCAGGGUCUGGGCUGCAUCACGAGGUCCUGGCCCAGCUGGUCCCGUUUGCAAGAGCCAAGGACCUUGGUAUCCUCAUGGACCAUUUGCCUAGCCUGCUUCAGACCCCAGGCAGGCACGAGAGCUGGAGCGUGGCCGACUCUGUGUCUGCAGUCCUGGACGGGUCGGCAGAAGAGCUGCGUGCCUGGAGAAGGACUCUGUUGGCGUCCUGUGUAAAAUGGCUGGUCGUGUCUUUCAUUGGUGACCAGCAAGGCCAGGACGGCACCCAGGAUCAGGAGAGGCAGAUGUUGCUGAGAUUUAGUGAGCUGUUGAAUUUCCUUAAUGAAGUGGAUCCUGGAGAUUGGCAGAAAUUUGUGAAGACUGGACUCAAAUUUCGGUAUCAGGACCACAUGUUUUUAAAGGCCCUCCAUGCUGCCAUACAACGCCUGUACCUUCCGGAAAACCCCGUGUGCACGCAGCUCACCCAGCUUCCGGCGAUCCACAUGAUGCUCACGCAGCAUUCUCUGUUUUUGCCGACUCUACUCAAGUCUGAAGAAGAGGAAAACCCAGACAGUCAAGUAAAAGAAGCGCUGGUGGAUCUGAUGUCAGUGGUGGUAAAGCUGUGUCCCUCUGUCUGUGAAAGCAGUCACUUUUCAGUGCUCCUUGGGGCCUAUGGCGCCACUCUCAGUGUCCUGGACCAGAAGAUUCUGCUUCUCCUCCGGGCGUAUGAACAGAACGACCUCAGCCUUGUGAACUUCAGAGUGCUGCUGUGGGGCCCAGUGGCUGUGGAGCAUCACAAGACGUGCCGGAGUCUGGGCAAGUCGCUGUGGCAGCAGCCGAGCGUCGGCGACAUCCUCCGCCUGCUGGAUCGGGACCGGAUGAUGAAGACCAUCCUCCACUUCCCCCAGAACCGGAGGCUGCUGCCCCCUGAGGAUGGACAGGAACUGAUCUUCAAAGACAGGAGCACAGUGGAUCUAGAUGGCCUUUAUGACCCCUGCUUUCUCCUGCAUCUCUUCAGUGAAUUGACCAGGCCAGAAUUUGUGGUAGAUUGUCGAAAAUUUUUGGACUCCAAUUCUCUGGGCCUAACCGUCGCGGCUCUCAGCAGCUAUGACCCUCAGAUGCGAGCUGCGGCCUACUACGUCCUGGCGGCCUACUACUCGCAGCUGGAGGGGGCACGGUUCCGAGAGCAGCCCCAGCUACUUUACCUGUUGGAUGUAGUCCGGAAUGGGAUCCGAACUCAGAACAUGAGACUCACCUUUACCUUGACUCUCUUCAUUGCCAAAGCAGCCCUGCAGAUUUUGAAACCAGAGGAACACAUGUACCUGAAGAUCAGCAAGUUCCUGCUGUCACACGAGUACUUGAAUAUGAACAAGGUUCCAGGCUUCUACCAGUUCUUCUUCAGCUCAGACUUUGAGCAAAAGACGGAACAGGAAUGGGUGUUCGGGAUCCUGCGGCAGGGGAUGCGGGACAAACACUGCUAUGAGCUCUAUGCCCGGCGAGGGGUCUUCCACACCAUCCUGGCCUUCUUCAGCAGCCCCCUGUGUGACGACGAGGCACAGAUUUGGAUUCUGGAAAUUCUACAGAACGCUGCCCGGGAUGCCCAGUCUGCCUACGAGAUCCUACGGGACUAUAGCCUUUUAACGUGGGUUUUACACAUCCUUGAGAGCAAGUUUCUGGAGACCCAGCUCCUGUCCAACAUAAUCUCCUUGCUGCACACACUGUGGGUGACCAACCUGGGGGACAAGGGAGUGGAGUCUGAGGGCCCGCCUCCUCGCAAGCCAGGGUCCCAGGAGCCCCCGAAGCUGCUCGCCCUGCACCUGGUCAACGAGUUCCUGUAUGUUCUCAUUGUGCUCACAAAGCACCUGAGGCCGACCUUGGCCCCCGCCCAGCUGACCAGCUUCUUCGGGGCGCUCGAGUCCGUGCUGAGGUACCGGGCCACCGUCGUGCAGGCCUUCAAGGACAUGAACCGCUUCACAGUGAACGAGACAGUGCUGUCCACCAAGGAUGUCCUCGUCCUCCUGCACAAGUGGAGCCUCAUCGAGAGAGAUGCCAAGCUCCAGGACGACCUGAGAGCAGCCACUGAGAAAUACCAAGUCAAGGAGCUGCUGAAAAUGUGCAAGGAUAAGAACAAGCCCGCCAUGCCAGGCCGAGCUAAAGGCCCGUGGGGCCGAAAGAGGAGGCCUGGGGAGGCGGAGGAGACGGCCGACCCUGAGCCGCAGGCAUCCACCUUGGAGACGUGCAAGGGCCUCCUGAGGUCCAUACUGACCCACUGGGGGCCCGCGUUCCCCAGCCCUGACUGCGCUCGGGGCCCCGUGGACGGGGCUGCCCCUGAGAGCGAGGCCCCGGGCCUCGCGUGUGCCGCCGCCUCCCUGGCGGUCGGCUGGGUGCUGCGGUCGGUGGCCGAGCACCCGCCCGGCAGGGCAGAGGCUUUGGGACUCCUUGGCUGGCUGAAGAGCCACAUCUUGCCACAGCCGGUGGUCGUGGCAGAGCUUCUCGGGGACCGUGCUGUGAGGAGUAGCAUCUUCAGGCUGUACAGCCAGUCCUGCAGCGCCGAGCAGCUGGCGGGCCCCGAGCAGAGCGUGGCCUGCCUCUUCAACACGGUCAUGCUGCAGCUGGCGGCCCAGGGCCCGGCGGGGAGCGCCUUCCGCCCGGCGGUCGAGACCCUCUGCCUCUCGUCUCUGAAGGAGAAGGACGAAGCCACUCGAGCCACCGCAGCGUUCCUGGUGUCUCUGUACAUUAAGGACGUCUGGCUGGGGGCUCAGCAGCCAGACACCCUCCUAACCCACAUCCAGAUGAUCCGUGACGCCACAGAGGACGCGCCAAAGGGUGACGAGGAGGCUGUCGUCGUGCUUUGCAAGGACAUGGCCGCCUUGGUCCCCAACGCUUGACGCCCUGCCCUCGGGCGCCUUCUGGCACCAGGUUCUAGAAGGUACCUCUUGGGGCUAUAAAUCUGGCCAAAUUUCACGUGAGUGGUAAACACUAGAAGAAAAGGACGGAGGUCUGCCUUUGCUCAGAAGCUGGCCCGGCCUCCUCCCGUGACCAGAGGGAACCGGAAGUGACUUGAACAUGGAUGUGACGAUGAGGGACAUGUCCGGGGGAUGGCUGAGCAAUGAGCUGGAAGGAAGCUGCUUUCUGAGGAUCUCAUGGACCAGACCCACCACGCUGUCCUGCAGACUUUUAGGAGUGAAACUCAGCCUUCCAAGGUUUAAGCGGCUGCCCCAGGCGAUCUUCCAGAAGCUUUGCCUUUUUCUCACCUUAAAGCAUCCCUGGCUCCUGGCUCCAGUCCCAGCAUCUUUCUGUCUUUGAUGUGAACCUCUGCACAAGUGAAGCUUUCUGAUCUGUUUGACUGGGUUGGAGAUCCAGCCCAGAGGAACUGGCGAGGAGAGAAAGGUGCAUUUGUCAGCAAAGAGGCUCGCCUGCUCUCUGUGGUGUGACCUCUGUCCUUCCUCACCCGGACUCACGCUUACCUUGCCCCACCUUCAAAGCCAGGUCAACAGAGCCUCCCUGAGACACCCUGACACCGCCUUCUGCUGACCAUUACAGAUCACAAGAGUGACAUCAUCAUAGCUGCAGCACAGCGUGCAGGUGAUGGAGAUUUCUGCUUUUGCAUUUUGGGGAUUUUUUUUUUAAGUGAACUUUGAAUUCAAAUACUGUGGACACACAACAGGGGAAGAAGUUUUUUUUCUUCCACUACUUGUAAUAGCAAAAUCCUGGAACCACUCUCAGUGUUCAAAACCGCACAUUUUUAGAACGUCGUGCAGUUAUUUACAAAACUUUGUGAGAGAAUCUUUCACAACACAGGAAAACAACAUAUUGUGAAGUCAAUAAGGGCAAAGUAUAAAAAAGCACACACAGCCAGAUCCUACCUGAAAUCUACAGGGGAGACGGGAUGUUCACAGUGGACUCUGUAGAAAGGCGGUGCUAUGGAUCGAAUGUGUCCCCCCACCUCCCGAUGCAGAAGCCCUGAUCUCCAGAUUGGUGGUAGUCGGAGCCCCUCUCCAUUCACAUCCACCAAGGAAAGGCCAUGUGAGCCCAACAGCAAGAAAGGACGUCCUCACCAGACAGUGACUCUUCUGCCACCUUGACCUUGGACUCCCAGCCUCCAUCACGGUGAGAAAUGAAUAUCUGUUGAAGCUCCGCAGUCUAUGAUACUUUGUUAUAGCUGCCUGAGUAGACUAAAAUAGGCAUUGACUACUUGCAAUCUGGUUUGGGUUUGCUUACCUCCGAGGGAUUUCCUUUAGAGACGGUAGAUGGUCCCCCACAGCCCUCACUCUGUCUAGGAGGGCAGCCGGUGCCCUGCCCUCCAGUGGAACUGUGAAGAGGCCGCUCAAGGGCACUCUGCACGUGUCCUUUGCAGUUAGUGGGGCACAGUGGACUGGAGUCUGAUGAUGUGUGCUCGAGAACAUCUUAAAAGCAAGAGACUGGGCCAUCAGUGUCAGCAGAGUGGAAGGAGCCAGCCUCCGGCCGUUGAGGGGCAAAGCUGUGUCCCCGAGGGCCUCAGGGGAGGGUGCGGGCCGAGUGCCAGCCCAGAGCUGGCCCAAGGGUCACGUGCAUGAGCACAGCCUGAAGGGGAGUCGGGCCUCUCACAGAGCAGGUCCAGGAGGAAGUUGGCCUCAGAGCACAGGGUCCCGAGGAUCGUCCUACGAGGCCAGCAGGAGAGACCACUGCCUGUGGUGGGAGAUCUCUUGCAAAGCCGCCGCCAGGAGAGAAGGAGCCAGCUUGCAUCAAGGACGCCCCCGCCUGGAUCAGUCCCAGUCAAGUUGGAGGGCAGGGAGGCCAGUGGGGAGGCCAGUGCAAGAGUUCAGCCAAGAAGUAACGACGGCUACAGAGGAGAAUCGCUUCCCCACCCUCAGGUCAUGGGACUGGUGACCGUCAUCCCAGGGAAUGCACAAAGGACACCCGUCACACGGGCUGGUAUAAGGAGGGGCGGCGAAAUCGACAGGAGCAGAGUCCCCGAGCCAAGUAGUGGGCCCCCCUUUGUGGACACGGCUGACGUACAUCGAUGUCCUCCUCACCCUCCAGGGCCGCCUGUGCGGGUGUGUCUGUUGUGCUGACUGGCUGCCGUCCGAAUCAGAAUCUGAGCCGCCUCACUGGCAAACCCCCUCGCCCUUUCUGCCUCUCACCCCACGCCAUCCCUGACACUCCAGCGAAGAUGUGUCGCCAAAUAGGAUGGGGCAGGUGGCUGGGGAGGAGGAGCUUGCUGAGGAAAGAAGGAGGAAGCGCUCCUGCCCCCAAGCCAGGGAAAGAGGAAGUUCUCGCUUUGAAUGAAGUUUGAAGGCGGUUUGGUUUUAAGUAUUUUUGAAAUUGAUUUCAUCGGCUUAGAUCUUUGUUUGGGUAACUAGACUGGCCGGUAGACAUUUUUUGGUUUAAGUUUGUUUAUUCAUUUUGAGAGAGAGCGAGAAUGACAACGAGCCGGGAGGGGCAGAGAGAGGGGGACGGAGGAUCUGAAGCAGCCCUACACUGACAGCAGAGAGCCCGAUGCUGGGCUGGAACUCACGAACCCUGAGAUCCUGGCCUGAGCGGAAGUCAGACGCUCAACCAAGCGAGCCACCCAGGUGCC